RNAcentral lists this ribosomal RNA (467 nucleotides) under uncultured bacterium. RNAcentral's name for it is "partial 16S ribosomal RNA". It matches the Rfam family "Bacterial small subunit ribosomal RNA", at positions 28 to 508 of the family's 1533-position model. The record is from RNAcentral.
GAUGAACGCUGGCGGCGUGCUUAACACAUGCAAGUCGAACGGAAAGGCUCCUGCUUGCAGGGGUACUCGAGUGGCGAACGGGUGAGUAACACGUGGGUGAUCUGCCCUGCACUUCGGGAUAAGCCUGGGAAACUGGGUCUAAUACCGGAUAGGACGAUGGUUUGGAUGCCAUUGUGGAAAGUUUUUUCGGUGUGGGAUGAGCUCGCGGCCUAUCAGCUUGUUAGUGGGGUAAUGGCCUACCAAGGCGUCGACGGGUAGCCGGCCUGAGAGGGUGUACGGCCACAUUGGGACUGAGAUACGGCCCAGACUCCUACGGGAGGCAGCAGUGGGGAAUAUUGCACAAUGGGCGCAAGCCUGAUGCAGCGACGCCGCGUGGGGGAUGACGGCCUUCGGGUUGUAAACUCCUUUCGCUAGGGACGAAGCGCAAGUGACGGUACCUGGAGAAGAAGCACCGGCUAACUACGUGC